UAUACUGUUAUAAAUAUUAUUUAACUAUAAUUGCAAUAAUACAAUUUUUACACUAUUUAUCGGGGGGGGGGGUCUCUUUUUAUGUAUAUUUUUCAAUAAAACCCGUCACGCCGUGUUUUGUUUUUUUUUUGCUACAGAUUUCCUGUUGGGAGCCGUGACUCGUCCCGUGAUGACUCCGCUGAGCGAUCGUGUAUUGAAUUUCGUGACAGAACAUAUGGCCUAUUUCCCUACCUUGAUUCCUUGCUAGAUUUAAGCGAGGAACCAAUCAGAGAAUAGAGUGUUAUGUUAUGUUAUGUUAUAUGUUAGUUUGUGUGCAAAUUAGAAAACCAGUUCGACAACAAUCCUCGUGCGACGUUAACGUAAUCACGCAAGCGAGCCAUCGCGGUUUUCUGCAAGCAGGCGAUCUAGCAAUAACAAGCGUCGUGUGCACCGGACUUAACAGAACAAAACUAUUGAGGUCUUUAUAAAUGAUACACGAAAUUUGGUAGAUUAUCCUGCGUAAAUUAUUUUUUCUCUCUAAAUUCGAUGCAGUUUCUCACGUGCAAAAAUUUGUUUUGGAAAUAAAAUUAGAAUACAUGGGCCGCCAGUUGCUCAUAUUACCUA
Molecule: non-coding RNA, 603 nt
Organism: Cinara cedri
Lineage: Eukaryota; Metazoa; Arthropoda; Insecta; Hemiptera; Aphididae
Source: the annotation of a GenBank genome assembly